GUCCACGCGGUAAACGAUGAACACUAGGUGUGGGGAGUGUUAAAACUGUCCGUGCCGAAGCAAACGCGUUAAGUGUUCCGCCUGGGGAGUACGGCCGCAAGGCUAAAACUCAAAGGAAUUGACGGGGGCCCGCACAAGCAGCGGAGCGUGUGGUUUAAUUCGAUGCGACGCGAAGAACCUUACCUGGGUUUGACAUGCACGUAGUAGUGAAGCGAAAGCGGAACGACCCUUCGGGGAGCGUGCACAGGUGUUGCAUGGCUGUCGU
Molecule: ribosomal RNA, 265 nt
Filed under: uncultured bacterium
Lineage: Bacteria
Description: partial 16S ribosomal RNA
Rfam family: Bacterial small subunit ribosomal RNA
Source: RNAcentral